CACCGGAUCCCAUCAGAACUCCGAAGUUAAGCGUGCUUGGGCGUGAGUAGUACUAGGAUGGGUGACCUCCUGGGAAGUCCUCGUGUUGCACCCCU
Molecule: ribosomal RNA, 95 nt
Filed under: Eucalyptus curtisii
Lineage: Eukaryota; Viridiplantae; Streptophyta; Magnoliopsida; Myrtales; Myrtaceae
Source: RNAcentral